This 497-nucleotide ribosomal RNA is filed under the name uncultured bacterium. Its description in RNAcentral is "partial 16S ribosomal RNA". It matches the Rfam family "Bacterial small subunit ribosomal RNA", at positions 28 to 507 of the family's 1533-position model. The record is from RNAcentral.
GAUGAACGCUGGCGGCGUGCCUAAUACAUGCAAGUCGAGCGAACAGACGAGGAGCUUGCUCCUCUUACGUUAGCGGCGGACGGGGGAGUAACACGUGGAUAACCUACCUAUAAGACUGGGAUAACUUCGUGAAACCGGAGCUAAUACCGGAUAAUAUAUUAAACCGCAUUGUUCAAUAGUGAAAGACGGUUUUGCCGUCACUUAUAGAUGGAUCCGCGCCGCAUUAGCUAGUUGGUAAGGUAACGGCUUACCAAGGCAACGAUGCGUAGCCGACUUGAGAGGGUGAUCGGCCACACUGGAACUGAGACACGGCCCAGACUCCUACGGGAGGCAGCAGUAGGGAAUCUUCCGCAAUGGGCGAAAGCCUGACGGAGCAACGCCGCGUGAGUGAUGAAGGUCUUCGGAUCGUAAAACUCUGUUAUUAGGGAAGAACAAAUGUGUAAGUAACUAUGCACGUCUUGACGGUACCUAAUCAGAAAGCCACGGCUAAAUACGUG